UUCUCUGUCAAAGCGAGACAGCUUUGUAUUAAAAUCCAAAGAAGUUUCAAAGUUUGGACUGAAAUUUGACAAAAGAAUUUCCACUUUCAUCACCUUUUUCUUAAAAUCAUGGUUCUGACAGAAGCAUUUCUUUCACCUGUUGGCAGCAAGACAGUAUUUUCCUACUAAAAGAUGGGUAUUAAUCUACUAUAGUGGUGGUUUAGUGAUUCUUGGAGAAGCUUGGAAUGGUUUAGAGUGAUUUUCUGGUUUUAAUGCUAUUUUUUUCUACCUGGAAAUCAGCAAGACCACGGCGAGGGAAGGGCAUUGCUGGCCUUUGGCUCCAAACCCUGGUGGAUCUGGUGGCCCUGUCCUGGGCAACUUCUGCUCUUCCCUUCUGAACAGAGUCUGAACUGGGGCAGUUUCUUACAACCCAAGUUCAAAGUUUAGUAGAGGAGCUUCGACCCUCCUGCGUUAUUCUGGACAGUGUCUUGUGGAAUUUCAAAAGACAGCGUGAGUUCUGUGGCUGGUGCCUGGUACCUCGGUGAUGGUGCUCAACGUCUUCCAGAUCCACGACCUUCAUCUCUUCCACGGCAUCGGCUCCUCCACCUGAGGAAUGACUUGGAAACCACUUACAGCAGCCUUCACAUAUACAGUGCCUCAGAUUUUAUCCUUUGGGAGUGAACACAGAUUUUCUCAGAAGGAUUAUGGACAGACCUGGUGGGAGAAGAUCCGGGCUUUGUGAGGAUGCUCUGGGAUUAACAGAACCACAAAUGCAACAUCCAGAUUUCCAAUGUAAACACCGCAAGUCCCGUGGCUCCAAGGGCUUUUGUCUGCACGUCCACAUCAGGAGUGAAGUUCAGGAGAAGAGGGACAUUUUGUGACAUCUGUAAAAUGAAGAAGCCACACUUGAAUUAAUGCUUGGGAGGACACCAAGACAGGACUUCUAAACACCUAGCUCUGUGGACAAGGCAAAGCAGGGAGUUGGUGACCUCCAUUACCCUGGAGGAAGAGUGAAGGAUGGAAGGCUGUUGGGAGGGACGUUGAAGACACCAGAGAAGCUUCAUCAUCUGGAGGCAGAAUUAUGGCCAAGUCCAAAUGCAAAGGGAGCCAAUGGGUUGAAUUUUGGACAAAGAAAAGAAGGCAAGAAAAGGCCCAGAGGAAGAAAAUGCCACCUUCUUCAUGGCUGAAGGAUGAACUUGGAGUAAAUGAGGUAGGAAGGAGCAAAGCCCAAGUGACAACUGACCAACGGAAAGUUUGAUAGUGCCUGAUUGAUACUCUACUGCUGUUUUUUAGGACCUGCUCUUGGUGACAUCUUUGCUUAUCUUUCUUUCCUCUUCACAUUGUAAUCGUUGAGGCACUUAAAUGAAAUUUAAUAAAAAAGAAAUGGGAACAAAA
Long non-coding RNA from Calidris pugnax (ruff), 1374 nucleotides. RefSeq lists it as uncharacterized. The record is from RefSeq and is a predicted model, not a curated record. NCBI's taxonomy places the organism in Eukaryota, Metazoa, Chordata, Aves, Charadriiformes, Scolopacidae. The transcript has 5 exons.